AGGAGUAUAGCUCAGGGGGAGAGCAUUUGCCUGCAGAUCAAGAGGUCCCUGGUUCAGAUCCAGGGACUAUAA
RNAcentral lists this transfer RNA (72 nucleotides) under Cricetulus griseus (Chinese hamster). It matches the Rfam family "tRNA". Rfam says of the family: Transfer RNA (tRNA) molecules are approximately 80 nucleotides in length. Their secondary structure includes four short double-helical elements and three loops (D, anti-codon, and T loops). Lineage: Eukaryota; Metazoa; Chordata; Mammalia; Rodentia; Cricetidae. The record is from Rfam by way of RNAcentral.